CAUUUUUGCCUCAGACAUUUUUCACUGCUCACUGAGUCCAGUUCACCUGCUUGUGGUUGUUAACUUGGCAAUUCUUCUACUUUGGUGACCAGAUCGAUAGACCAUCCAGCAGCUGAGAAAAUAUCAGAUGACUGGCAUACAGCCAGAGGCAGUUUCUGUUGUGCAGUGAGAGUCCAUUCUGAUAUCACAAAAUUGGAAAUAAAUGGAACUAUGCCAAAAUUCUCUCUUCAAAGAAGAAAAAUAAGAGGCAUAAAUAUUGGCUUGAAAUACGAUAGAAUGCAAGAACUUUUGC
Molecule: long non-coding RNA, 292 nt
Organism: Homo sapiens (human)
Lineage: Eukaryota; Metazoa; Chordata; Mammalia; Primates; Hominidae
Exons: 3
Source: RefSeq, a predicted model, not a curated record